This 522-nucleotide long non-coding RNA is filed under the name Homo sapiens (human). Its description in RNAcentral is "HSALNT0263646". The record is from RNAcentral. Lineage: Eukaryota; Metazoa; Chordata; Mammalia; Primates; Hominidae.
CCGUCGAGGCCGCCAGCCCCUCCCCCAGCAUGUUUGGGCUAAGCCGCCUCCUUUCCGCCUGCGUUGGAGAGAGAGGUACCAGAAGGAAUGAAAGGACUGGGGCUUGUCUCCAUGGCAACUGAAAGAAAGAGAGAAAAAUUGGUCACCUCCAGGACUGAGACCCUGACCCUUCCAAGCAUCCCCACUACCAAAGGCUGCCCAAGCCCGGAAGGAUCCCAUCCCGUUCUGUACUCUGAGGUCACUUCCUCACUCCGUCAAAUUUCACUGGACUGUGGGCUAAUUAAAAGUGCCUCCGUAUUAGCGGGGCGUGGUGGCCCAUGCCUAUAAUCCCAGCUACUUGGGAAGCUGAGGCAGGAAAAUUGCUUGAACCCGGGUGGCGGAGGCUGCAGUGACCCAACAUUGUGCAACAAGAGCGAAACUCCGUCUCAAAAAAAAUAAAAAGGUGGUUUUUAUUUCCACAUCUCCAACAGGGAGUCUGGAAACAAACUGACAAUACUCGUGAAAUCAACACCCAGAUGAGGU